This 1036-nucleotide long non-coding RNA is filed under the name Vulpes vulpes (red fox). Its description in RNAcentral is "lncRNA (ENSVVUG00000011682.1)". The record is from RNAcentral. Lineage: Eukaryota; Metazoa; Chordata; Mammalia; Carnivora; Canidae.
UUGGAAUUGUGGUUGGGUCCACCAGCUUGAGGUCAGAUUUGGGCUCCACUCCCUUCUAUUGGAUAGUUUGAAAAACUUGGCCUGGUUACUUAAUUGACAUCUUGAGUCCUUGUUUUCCUCAUCUGGAAAAUGGUUUGUUGCCAGUAGGAGAUUUAAAUGAGCAGUUAUAAAGUCCUGUGCAUUGUGACCACUCCACAAACGAGAGCUUCAAGCAUGCAGAACAAAGACCUGACAUAGGACCUCCUAACUCCUUUAUUUAAGAAAUGAAGAGCCCCAGAGAGGGGAAACCGUGGAGGCAGCAAGUCUAAGGAUCGAAAUUCAUCGAAGAGCAUUUGCUGAGGUGUCUGUGGAAGCACUACCAGAUAUUCAACUCCUACGGAAGCUAAACUCUGGACUCGUGGAAGUACCCGAUUAUUUAGUAUUUAUGAUUCACCAGACAAACAUUCUGGCAAACUCUGGCAAAGCCUUCCAGAAGCUUAUGCUCUAACUUUUUUCAACAUCACUCAGCAACCAAGAGGUGGAAUUUUGACAGAUGGAGAAGAUCAGGGAGGAACAUUUCAGAGCCUCUGAGACCAUCUGUAUAUGCUGCUUUAUUUCUCUUGGGCAAUGAAUACAUUGACAACGAUUUUAGAACCUAUUAGAUCCUCAGUUAAUGGGCCUCUCCUUCCCCAUAUGCUGCUGCAGCUGAUUGGCACAGAGACUCCCAGCCAUCCACUGACCUGGUUUAGGGGCCGCGGUGUAUAGUCAGCUCCCUAAGCAACAGAAGCAGGCUCCUGAGGGCAAGAUGCUCACACUCCAAUGGGGCAGCAGUGGACUGAGACUCCCUCCCUGGUGCAGGCGCAGCUGAUGUGCCUGGAGCUUGCCCACCUCGAGUGGACUGCUGAGAAAUUUUCCAAAUUAAAUUAAUAUUUAGAUUUCUCCCUCUGCCUCUCUCGGCCUUGCUUUCUCACAAGGUUGACAUUUGAGUAAAUUUAAUGCCUUUAGCUUUACACUUGUUUCUGCAGCAAGGACUCAUCAACCUCGUCGUGUUGCUGGC